GACGAACGCUGGCGGCGUGCUUAACACAUGCAAGUCGAGCGGUAAGGCCCUUUCGGGGUACGACGAGCGGCGAACGGGUGAGUAACACGUGGGUGACCUGCCCUCAGCUCUGGGGUAAGCCUGGGAAACCGGGUCUAAUACCGGAUAUGACUCCAUGACGCAUGUUGUGGGGUGGAAAGCCUUGUGCGGCUGAGGAUGGGCCCGCGGCCUAUCAGCUUGUUGGUGGGGUGAUGGCCACCAAGGCGACGACGGUAGCCGGCCUGAGAGGGCGACCGGCCACACUGGGACUGAGACACGGCCCAGACUCCUACGGGAGGCAGCGAGUGGGGAAUCUUGCGCAAUGGGCGAAAGCCUGACGCAGCGACGCCGCGUGAGGGAUGACGGCCU
This 387-nucleotide ribosomal RNA is filed under the name uncultured bacterium. RNAcentral describes it as "bacterial SSU rRNA". It matches the Rfam family "Bacterial small subunit ribosomal RNA", at positions 28 to 417 of the family's 1533-position model. The record is from RNAcentral.